This 460-nucleotide ribosomal RNA is filed under the name uncultured bacterium. Its description in RNAcentral is "partial 16S ribosomal RNA". It matches the Rfam family "Bacterial small subunit ribosomal RNA", at positions 338 to 795 of the family's 1533-position model. The record is from RNAcentral.
CCUACGGGUGGCAGCAGUGAGGAAUAUUGGUCAAUGGGCGCGAGCCUGAACCAGCCAAGUAGCGUGAAGGAUGACUGCCCUACGGGUUGUAACCUUCUUUUAUAAAGGAAUAAAGUGAGGCACGUGUGCCUUUUUGUAUGUACUUUAUGAAUAAGGAUCGGCUCACUCCGUGCCAGCAGCCGCGGUAAUACGGAGGAUCCGAGCGUUAUCCGGAUUUAUUGGGUGUAAAGGGAGCGUAGAUGGGUUGUUAAGUCAGUUGUGAAAGUUUGCGGCUCAAGCGUAAAAUUGCAAUUGAUACUGGAGUUCGUGAGUACAGGUGAGGUAGGCGGAAUUCGUGGUGUAGCGGUGAAAUGCUUAGAUAUGACGAAGAACUCCGAUUGAGAAGGCAGCUUACUAAACUGCCACUGACAUUGAUGCUCGAAAGUGUGGGUAUCAAACAGGAUUAGAUACCCUAGUAGUC